CCAGACUCCUACGGGAGGCAGCAGUGAGGAAUAUUGGUCAAUGGGCGGGAGCCUGAACCAGCCAAGCCGCGUGAAGGAAGAAGGCGCCAAGCGUCGUAAACUUCUUUUGUCGGGGAACAAAGGGCGCCACGUGUGGCGUUGUGAGUGUACCCGAAGAAAAAGCAUCGGCUAACUCCGUGCCAGCAGCCGCGGUAAUACGGAGGAUGCGAGCGUUAUCCGGAUUUAUUGGGUUUAAAGGGUGCGCAGGCGGAGGUGCAAGUCAGCGGUCAAAUUGCGGGGCUCAACCCCGUACUGCCGUUGAAACUGCAUCCCUUGAGUGCGCGAGAAGUAUGCGGAAUGCGUGGUGUAGCGGUGAAAUGCAUAGAUAUCACGCAGAACUCCGAUUGCGAAGGCAGCAUACCGGCGCGCAACUGACGCUCAUGCACGAAAGCGUGGGUAUCGAACAGGAUUAGAUACCCGUGUA
This 463-nucleotide ribosomal RNA is filed under the name uncultured bacterium. RNAcentral describes it as "bacterial SSU rRNA". It matches the Rfam family "Bacterial small subunit ribosomal RNA", at positions 331 to 792 of the family's 1533-position model. The record is from RNAcentral.